Molecule: ribosomal RNA, 453 nt
Filed under: uncultured Prevotella sp.
Lineage: Bacteria; Pseudomonadati; Bacteroidota; Bacteroidia; Bacteroidales; Prevotellaceae
Description: partial 16S ribosomal RNA
Rfam family: Bacterial small subunit ribosomal RNA
Source: RNAcentral
CGGAAGGCAGCAGUGAGGAAUAUUGGUCAAUGGACGAGAGUCUGAACCAGCCAAGUAGCGUGCAGGAUGACGGCCCUAUGGGUUGUAAACUGCUUUUGUACGGGAAUAAAGUGACCUACGUGUAGGUUUUUGCAUGUACCGUAAGAAUAAGGACCGGCUAAUUCCGUGCCAGCAGCCGCGGUAAUACGGAAGGUCCGGGCGUUAUCCGGAUUUAUUGGGUUUAAAGGGAGCGUAGGCCGUGCUUUAAGCGUGUUGUGAAAUGUAGGCGCCCAACGUCUGCACUGCAGCGCGAACUGGAGCAUUUGAGUACGCAGGAAGUAGGCGGAAUUCGUCGUGUAGCGGUGAAAUGCUUAGAUAUGACGAAGAACUCCGAUUGGGAAGCCAGCUUACUGUAGCGCCACUGACGCUGAUGCUCGAAAGCGUGGGUAUCGAACAGGAUUAGAUACCCUGGUA